GCAGAAUUAAAACGAGAGGGAGGCCUAAUCAAAGGAGGCAGAGGGAGCCCGCUGGACCUUUGGGUCUCAGUGUUGGAUGAUACUGCAGAAUCAGCUGGUCCGGAUACCACCUUGGCUGUGGCUGAGCUAGGUUUCACCUCGUGCUGCUGUGGGGCCAGUAGGGUCUUGAGCUCCCCGAAGCCUCCUUCCAAACCAUUCAUCAGAACCAGCUGUUUAAUGAGGGCAGGAUGGGGAUGUGAGACAGUGGCUGUGUGAGUCGAGGUCUCUAGAGCCAGGCUGUGUGAGAUUUGCGCGUGGGCCGAGGCAGUCGUCACUCGCUGGGUGUGGGCAGAGGGGGCCGAAGCAGUCGUCACUCGCUGGGUGUGGGCCGAGGGGGCCGAGGCGGUGGUCACUCCCUGGGUGUGGGCCGAGGGGACCGAGGCGGUCGUCACUCGCUGGGUGUGGGCCGAGGCGGUGGUCACUCCCUGGGUGUGGGCCGAGGGGACCGAGGCGGUCGUCACUCGCUGGGUGUGGGCCGAGGGGGCCGAGGCGGUCGUCACUCGCUGGGUGUGGGCCGAGGGGGCCGAGGCGGUCGUCACUCCCUGGGUGUGGGCCGAGGCGGUGGUCACUCCCUGGGUGUGGGCCGAGGGGGCCGAGUCGGUGGUCACUCCCUGCCUCUGAAGGUGCUCCAUAUGUUUCAUGAUCAGGUUGUCCUCCAGGUGCCUGAGCUCCUCCUGGUCCAUGAACAACACCUUAUCCCGCUGUCUGAGUGGGGCGGGGCGUUUCAGAACAACAGCAGGGGCUUCUGCCACCUGGGUGGGUUUCCUAGUUGGAUGGCUGGUUGCCGAAGCAAGGGCGGAGUGGUAUGACUGGGCCACCAUGCCGGGAAAGUGUUUGAGCUUCACCUCCAUAUACUUACUCCUCACCUUCUCCUCCAGCCAGCAUCUCUCCGGGGUCAAGCUCCUCACAGGGGAUGUCUGGUUCAGAGAGUGUCCGGUCUGGGAAGGUUUGGUAGCGUGGCUCUCGGCUGGCUGGAGCACAGUGCUGGUGGUAGUCUUCUCUACAGGUCUGGUGGCUGGUGAGCUGUCCUUCGCUACGGCUGCAGUAGCCUGCGGCUCCUCUGCUGGCCUUGUAGUCUUGUUCUUCAACCUGAACUCUGUGUUGCGGUGCGCUCGUCCAGAGAACACCGCCUGACGGUCGGUCACAUUGCCCAUGACCUUCCCGUCGCCUGCGCUGCCGGAGGUAGGGAGCUGCUGGAGCGCAAGGUCGCCCACGUACCUGGUGACCAGCUUGGGGAAGCCCCAGAGGCGCUGGCUCUGCUUGCGGCAAACAUGAGACUCAAGCUUCUCUCGGACCUCCUGGCAAAUGAAGGGGAUCCUGGCGCCCUGAGUGUACAUCAUGAUGGACUUGGGUUUACCCUCUAACCCUGGAGACUGGCAUGGAGCCCUGGAGGGAGAUGGAGGUUUGGCACCCUGAGGGCAGAAAGCUGGAACACUGGCAGUUUUCCUGGUGAUCUUUGAUCCUUUCUUAGCCUGAGAGGUGGUUGAGGUGUUGAACUGGGUGGUAGUGGUGGUGGUGGUAGUGGUGGUGGAUGCAGAGGUGGAGGUUGAGCUGGUGGUGCCUCCUCCCUUCAGUCUCUCGGGGAGCAGCCACCUAAUGAUGGAGAUCAUCAGCACGGCAAUCCUCCAGCGCUUACGGGCCACCUUAGAUUAUAGAUUAAAUUAGAUUAAUUCACCUCCAAGGAGGAAAUUAGACAGUUAGACAAACACCUAACCAGCAACUCAUCAACUAGACGUUUAACAGAAGUGGGUGUCUCAAAUGGCACUCUAUAUCUUAUAUAGUGCACUAUGUAGGAAAGGGUCAGUAAAAAUGAUUUUUUUUUUACAGACCUUCUGUGUCACGUUGAGUUCCAAGUGUCUGCGGUACCAGCGGCACAGGACGGCUGGGUCUCCUUUCCUCGGCACGACCUCAAACAGCUGUCUUACCAUUGGAAUAUGUCUCGCAGUCGGAGUCCUGGAGCGGUCUGUGCGGCUGGCAGCUCUGUCUUUACAGCCAGUGACAGUAGAAGCAGCAGCAACAGGCACAGCGACAGGAGAGUCCAGUUUGGCCUCCAUCAGAGUCCAGUUUAGCCUCCAACCAAUAGCAGUAAGCUGACGAGGGCAGGGCUGGUAUUCCAGAGGUUGAGGGGAGUCAGAAGGAGUCACGUACCUAGAGGAGUUGCAGGAGGAGCUACAGGAGGUGUGUGUGGAGCCAUGGUGACUGUCCUUAACAUCACCACCUCCUGGUAGCUUGAGGCAGGGCUUAGCCAGUGGGAUAGAACUACCUGAAGAACAGUGACUAUCUGGACCACCGCCUUUCAGGAAUUUAAACCUGUCAGGUGGAUGCCGUUUCCGCCGUUUAUUGCAGGUUCGGCAUGUGCUGCAGUCACUAAAUCUGGAGGAUCUAGAAUGUGGUCUAGAAUGUGAUCUAGAAGAUGAUCUGGAUGAGCAUGAGUCAAAGCACGAUUGGGGGUCAGCGCAGGAUUCCAGGUCCACCUCAGAGGUGAGGUCCUCCAUAUGUAACGUUAGUUCCUCCAGUCGUUGGAGGUAGCUGUAGUAGAGAUGAACUCCCUCUGUGAAGUUAUUGACCAGCGCUCUGCAAGAGAACAUUUAAGACUGGGUUUAAAUUAAGUUCAGAGCCAUUCACUUUCAAGAUUUUUACAAAUGUUUUAACCACAUGAAAG
Molecule: long non-coding RNA, 2701 nt
Filed under: Salmo salar (Atlantic salmon)
Lineage: Eukaryota; Metazoa; Chordata; Actinopteri; Salmoniformes; Salmonidae
Description: lncRNA (ENSSSAG00000096917.1)
Source: RNAcentral